CUGCAACCCGGCUCCGUGAAGCUGGAUUCGCUAGUAAUCGCGCAUCAGCCAUGGCGCGGUGAAUACGUUCCCGGGCCUUGUACACACCGCCCGUCAAGCCAUGGGAGCCGGGGGCGCCUGAAGUGCGGUACCGCGAGGGCCGCCCAAGGGCGAGACCGGUGACUGGGGCUAAGUCGUAACAAGGUAUC
This 188-nucleotide ribosomal RNA is filed under the name uncultured bacterium. Its description in RNAcentral is "partial 16S ribosomal RNA". It matches the Rfam family "Bacterial small subunit ribosomal RNA", at positions 1305 to 1500 of the family's 1533-position model. The record is from RNAcentral.